Molecule: ribosomal RNA, 253 nt
Filed under: uncultured bacterium
Lineage: Bacteria
Description: partial 16S ribosomal RNA
Rfam family: Bacterial small subunit ribosomal RNA
Source: RNAcentral
UACGUAGGGUCCAAGCGUUAAUCGGAAUUACUGGGCGUAAAGCGUGCGCAGGUGGUUACGCAAGUCUGAUGUGAAAUCCCCGGGCUCAACCUGGGAACUGCAUUGGAGACUGCGUGGCUAGAGUGUGGCAGAGGGGGGUGGAAUUCCGCGUGUAGCAGUGAAAUGCGUAGAUAUGCGGAGGAACACCGAUGGCGAAGGCAAUCCCCUGGACCUGUACUGACGCUCAUGCACGAAAGCGUGGGGAGCAAACAGG